This 2712-nucleotide unclassified non-coding RNA is filed under the name Aphidius gifuensis. RNAcentral describes it as "aTP-dependent RNA helicase HAS1, transcript variant X1". The record is from RNAcentral. Lineage: Eukaryota; Metazoa; Arthropoda; Insecta; Hymenoptera; Braconidae.
CGUUUAUCUGAGCUCCUCAGUCCUCCUCCAUUACACACAUUGCUCCAUCAUAUACACCAAUACACGAUACACAUUCACACAAGUUCUGUCUUGAUCUAAACAAGUCUCAACCAGUCUAAAUACUGAAUAGCCCCAACACCUUCAGUAAACUCACGUGUUAACAACUGUUAAAAAUUAUUCAAUAAUAAAUCAUUUACAUUGUUGAUUGAUAAAAAAUAAUAUUCUUUAAACGUGUGAUUAUUGAUAUAAUUUUAUUAAAAAAUGUCAUCGUCCGAGAAAAUUUUAAAGAAAAAAAUUAAAAAAAAAGAAAAGGUUAAAAUUGACAAUUUAAAAUUAAAAAAUGCAGCUUUGGCCCUCAAUAAAAAUGAUGAAUCCGGGGAGUCUUCGGUUAACAAAGUUAACAAGAAAAAAAUUAAAAAAACUAACCUAAAAAAAGAGACAUCAGUAAAAAUCAAGCCUAAAAAAGCUUCCAAGAAAACUUCUGUAGUUGAGAAACAAUCUGAGCAUGAAGAUGAUCAUGAUGAUGAGGAAGAAGAUCAAAAAAUGGAAAGCGACGAUGCAAGUGAUGAACCUAUGGAAGAAUCAGAUGAUAAUGUUAAUAAUAAUGAUGAUAAUGGUAAUGGUAAUGGCAAGGGUAAUGAUGAUGAUGAUGAUGAUAAUAGUAAUAAUGGCAAUGGUAAUAAAGAUGAUGAUGAUGAUGAUGAUGAUGAUGAUGAUGAUGAUGAUGAUGAUGAUGAUGAUAAUGAUGACGACGACGACAAUGAAAUGUUGCCAGGAUCAUCAGUUGGUCUUGCUGUAUCCACAAAACCAGAUUUUUCAUCUCUAGUAGGUAGUGUUUCUGAAAAUACAUUAAAAAGUAUUGAAGAAAUGAAGUUUCCAGAGAUGACUGAAAUUCAAGCAAAGGCAAUACCUCCAUUACUUGAAGGAAGAGAUGUUGUUGGUGCUGCUAAAACAGGGUCUGGUAAAACACUUGCAUUUCUUAUACCAGCAGUUGAAUUAAUAUAUAAAAUAAAAUUUAUGCCAAGAAAUGGUACUGGUUGUAUUAUAAUAUCACCAACACGUGAAUUAGCAAUGCAAACAUUUGGUGUAUUAAGACAACUUAUGAAAUAUCAUUAUCAUACAUAUGGUUUGAUAAUAGGUGGUACUAGUAGACAAACAGAACAACAAAAAUUAGCAAAAGGUGUUAAUAUUGUUGUUGCAACACCUGGAAGAUUACUUGAUCAUUUACAAAAUACUCCUGAUUUUUUGUAUAAAAAUUUACAAUGUCUUGUUCUUGAUGAAGCUGAUAGAAUUUUGGAUAUUGGAUUUGAAGAAGAUCUCAAACAAAUUAUCAAAUUAUUACCAAAACGAAGACAAACAAUGUUAUUUAGUGCAACACAAACUAAAAAAACUGAAGCAUUAGCAUCACUUGCAUUAAAAAAAGAACCUAUUUAUGUUGGUGUUAAUGAUGAAGAUGAACAAGCAACUGUUGAUACUCUUACCCAAGGUUAUGCUGUUUGUCCAAGUGACAAAAGACUUUUACUAUUAUAUUCAUUUCUUAAAAGAAAUCAGAGAAAAAAAAUUGUUGUGUUUUUUAGUUCUUGUAUGUCUGUUAAAUUUCAUAGCGAAUUAUUUAAUUACUGUGAUAUAGAAGUUAUGAGUCUUCACGGUAAACAAAAACAAACAAAACGUACAACAACAUUUAACCAAUUUGAAACUGCAAAGACUGCAAUAUUAUUAUGUACUGAUGUUGCUGCAAGAGGUCUUGAUUUUCCGAAUGUUAGUUGGAUUGUUCAAUAUGAUCCUCCAGAUGAUCCAAAGGACUAUAUUCAUCGUGUUGGUAGAACAGCACGUGCUGGUACCAGUGGUCAUGCACUUUUAUUUUUACGACCUGAAGAACUUGGUUUUCUUCGUGAAUUACGUUUACAAAAAGUAAACGUUGAGGAAUUUCAAUUAAAUUGGAAGGAUAUUUCAAAUAUUCAAUCACAGGUUGAAAAUUUAGUAUCAACCAAUAAGUUUAUGUAUGCAUCAGCAAAAGAAGCAUUUAAAUCAUAUGUACGUGCUUAUGAGUCACAUCAUUUGAAACAAAUAUUUAAUAUUGACACACUGGAUUUAAAAGAAGUUGCAAAAUCAUUUGGUUUUGUAGUACCACCUAAUAUUGCAUUACGAAUGGGAGCAAGCAGUUUAUCUAGAAAUGCACCAAGAGAAAAUCAUCGAGGUGGAUAUGGUUAUGCAAGAAAUUCAAACAACAGUAAUAGAGGUCGAAAUUUUCGUCAAGGAAGACAAAAUAGAGAUGCACGUCAAUUUUCACGUUAAUUAUAUUAAUUCAAUAUAGAAAAAAUAUAAAAAUUGAAUUAUCAUAAUUUUAUUUUUAAAAAAUCAUUUUUUUUUUUAAAUCAAUAAACAAUAAUCAAAAUAAUCUAUAAUCAUUUUUUUUUUUUCAAUUUUAUUUAUUCAGUAUAAUGUAUUAUUUAUUAAAAUAAUAUUUACUAUUGAAUAUUUUUUUAAAUAAUACAUUCAAGUAAAGAAGCAUUAACACCCACAAUUUUUUUUAAUAUUUUUUUUUCAUGAUUAGAAAGAAUGAAAAGAAAGAAAGAAACUUCUACUCAUGCUACGAAAAAUGGGUCGUGUGCCAGUCCAUCUAUGGUCCGAGUAAGUGACGUCAACAUAAAUAAAAAAAUAAAAAAAAAAAAAACUUAAACAUUAACCAAUAUGUGUGUAGGCGAGAAACAG